This 450-nucleotide ribosomal RNA is filed under the name uncultured bacterium. Its description in RNAcentral is "bacterial SSU rRNA". It matches the Rfam family "Bacterial small subunit ribosomal RNA", at positions 354 to 796 of the family's 1533-position model. The record is from RNAcentral.
GUGAGGAAUAUUGGGCAAUGGGCGAAAGCCUGACCCAGCCACGCCGCGUGAGUGAUGAAGGCCUUCGGGUUGUAAAGCUCUGUGGGGAGGGAAGAAAAAGCGCAGGAGUAACUGCCUGUGUGUUGACGGUACCUCCUUAGCAAGCACCGGCUAACUCUGUGCCAGCAGCCGCGGUAAUACAGAGGGUGCAAACGUUGCUCGGAAUUACUGGGCGUAAAGCGCGUGUAGGCUGACAUGCAAGUCGGGUGUGAAAUCCCAGGGCUCAACCUUGGAACUGCACUCGAAACUGCACGUCUUGAGUACUGGAGAGGGAAGCGGAAUUCCGGGUGUAGAGGUGAAAUUCGUAGAUAUCCGGAGGAACACCAGUGGCGAAGGCGGCUUCCUGGACAGUAACUGACGCUGAGACGCGAAAGCGUGGGGAGCAAACAGGAUUAGAAACCCCAGUAGUCC